RNAcentral lists this ribosomal RNA (498 nucleotides) under uncultured bacterium. Its description in RNAcentral is "partial 16S ribosomal RNA". It matches the Rfam family "Bacterial small subunit ribosomal RNA", at positions 28 to 507 of the family's 1533-position model. The record is from RNAcentral.
GACGAACGCUGGCGGCGUGCCUAAUACAUGCAAGUCGAACGAGAGCGACCGGUGCUUGCACUGGCCAAUCUAGUGGCGAACGGGUGAGUAACACGUGGGUAACCUGCCCAUCAGAGGGGGAUAACAUUCGGAAACGGAUGCUAAAACCGCAUAGGUCUUCGAACCGCAUGGUUUGAAGAGGAAAAGAGGCGCAAGCUUCUGCUGAUGGAUGGACCCGCGGUGCAUUAGCUAGUUGGUGAGGUAACGGCUCACCAAGGCCGUGAUGCAUAGCCGACCUGAGAGGGUGAUCGGCCACAUUGGGACUGAGACACGGCCCAAACUCCUACGGGAGGCAGCAGUAGGGAAUCUUCCGCAAUGGACGCAAGUCUGACGGAGCAACGCCGCGUGAGUGAAGAAGGUUUUCGGAUCGUAAAACUCUGUUGUUAGAGAAGAAUAAGUGCUAGAGUAACUGUUAGCGCCUUGACGGUAUCUAACCAGAAAGCCACGGCUAACUACGUG